GAGGGUAUAGCUCAAGUGGUAGAGCGCAUGCUUAACAUGCAAAAGGUCCUGGGUUCAGUCCCCAGUACCUCCU
RNAcentral lists this transfer RNA (73 nucleotides) under Camelus bactrianus (Bactrian camel). It matches the Rfam family "tRNA". Rfam says of the family: Transfer RNA (tRNA) molecules are approximately 80 nucleotides in length. Their secondary structure includes four short double-helical elements and three loops (D, anti-codon, and T loops). Lineage: Eukaryota; Metazoa; Chordata; Mammalia; Artiodactyla; Camelidae. The record is from Rfam by way of RNAcentral. RNAcentral also lists the same sequence under 2 other names.